UUGGAGGGCAAGUCUGGUGCCAGCAGCCGCGGUAAUUCCAGCUCCAAUAGCGUAUAUUAAAGUUGCUGCAGUUAAAAAGCUCGUAGUUGAAUUUCGGGACCAAUAUGUCGGUCGUGCCUCGGUACGUACUGGCAUCGUUGGUUUCUCCCUUCUGACGAACCAUGAUGUCAUUUAUUUGGUGUCGUGGGGAAUCAGGACUGUUACUUUGAAAAAAUUAGAGUGUUUAAAGCAGGC
RNAcentral lists this ribosomal RNA (234 nucleotides) under uncultured Glomus. RNAcentral's name for it is "partial 18S ribosomal RNA". It matches the Rfam family "Eukaryotic small subunit ribosomal RNA", at positions 548 to 785 of the family's 1831-position model. The record is from RNAcentral. Lineage: Eukaryota; Fungi; Glomeromycota; Glomeromycetes; Glomerales; Glomeraceae.